RNAcentral lists this ribosomal RNA (810 nucleotides) under Nectria novae-zealandiae. RNAcentral's name for it is "LSU rRNA". It matches the Rfam family "Eukaryotic large subunit ribosomal RNA", at positions 92 to 933 of the family's 3401-position model. The record is from RNAcentral. Lineage: Eukaryota; Fungi; Ascomycota; Sordariomycetes; Hypocreales; Nectriaceae.
AGUGAAGCGGCAACAGCUCAAAUUUGAAAUCUGGCCCUCGCGGUCCGAGUUGUAAUUUGUAGAGGAUGCUUUUGGUGAGGUGCCUUCCGAGUUCCCUGGAACGGGACGCCAUAGAGGGUGAGAGCCCCGUCUGGUCGGACACCGAGCCUCUGUAAAGCUCCUUCGACGAGUCGAGUAGUUUGGGAAUGCUGCUCUAAAUGGGAGGUAUAUGUCUUCUAAAGCUAAAUAUUGGCCAGAGACCGAUAGCGCACAAGUAGAGUGAUCGAAAGAUGAAAAGCACUUUGAAAAGAGGGUUAAAUAGUACGUGAAAUUGUUGAAAGGGAAGCGCUUGUGACCAGACUUGGGCUUGGUCAAUCAUCCAGGGUUCUCCCUGGUGCACUUGGCCGGCCCAGGCCAGCAUCAGUUCGUCGCGGGGGAUAAAGACUUUGGGAAUGUGGCUCCCCCGGGAGUGUUAUAGCCCUCUGUGCAAUACCCUGCCUCGGACUGAGGUUCGCGCAUCUGCAAGGAUGCUGGCGUAAUGGUCAUCAGCGACCCGUCUUGAAACACGGACCAAGGAGUCGUCUUCGUAUGCGAGUGUUCGGGUGUCAAACCCCUACGCGUAAUGAAAGUGAACGCAGGUGAGAGCUUCGGCGCAUCAUCGACCGAUCCUGAUGUUCUCGGAUGGAUUUGAGUAAGAGCAUACGGGGCCGGACCCGAAAGAAGGUGAACUAUGCCUGUAUAGGGUGAAGCCAGAGGAAACUCUGGUGGAGGCUCGCAGCGGUUCUGACGUGCAAAUCGAUCGUCAAAUAUGGGCAUGGGGGCGAAAGACUA